Molecule: long non-coding RNA, 344 nt
Filed under: Olea europaea (common olive)
Lineage: Eukaryota; Viridiplantae; Streptophyta; Magnoliopsida; Lamiales; Oleaceae
Description: long non-coding RNA (OEUR_LNC004904)
Source: RNAcentral
AGUUCUUGAAACCAGAACUUUCUCUUCUCUAUCUUCUUGCAUGUUCUCCCUUUGAUUCUUUAUUGUGUCAAUUCCUUUGUCUAUCUCCUUUUACUUUUUUAUGGUGUGGAAUUUCUCUCUAUGAUCUUACAUUAUAUGUAUUGGAACCCCUUCAUUCGACCAAAAAUAGAUCUUUAUAUAAAGCCCAAAUCGACUUGAAAAUCGUGUGCUCAAAAGAACCAAAAUACCACCAAAAAUAAAAUAAAAACCACUCAAAAAAUAUACAUACAGGUUUGCCACGAUCGGAUAAGGAUUUGCAUACUACGGUCGGACCUCAAAAGCUAGCCUUUGAAUGUGACUGUCGG